RNAcentral lists this small nucleolar RNA (134 nucleotides) under Macaca fascicularis (crab-eating macaque). RNAcentral describes it as "Small nucleolar RNA SNORA70 (ENSMFAG00000057583.1)". It matches the Rfam family "Small nucleolar RNA SNORA70". Rfam says of the family: snoRNA U70 seems to be exclusive to mammals and is a member of the H/ACA class of snoRNA which contain H (ANANNA) and ACA box motifs. The record is from Rfam by way of RNAcentral. Lineage: Eukaryota; Metazoa; Chordata; Mammalia; Primates; Cercopithecidae.
CUGCAGCCAAUUAAGCCGACUGAGUUCCUUUCCUCAUGGGGGCCCAGUGUGCAAUGGCUGCAAACAGCAGCUUCCCUGGUAGUGAUGCAGCCUGUUUGUUGUAUGGGUUGCUCUGAAGGAUCUUGGAGACAGUC